GAUGAAGAACGCAGCGAAAUGCGAUACGUAAUGUGAAUUGCAGAAUUCAGUGAAUCAUCGAAUCUUUGAACGCAUAUUGCGCUCUUUGGUAUUCCGAAGGGCAUGCUUGUUUGAGUAUCAGUAAACACCUCAACCUCUUCUUGAUUUUUCAAAAGGAGGGUGGACUUGAGCUAUCCCAACAACCUUUACCGGUCGGCGGGCGGCUUGAAAUGCAGGUGCAGCUGGACUUUUAUCUGAGCUAAAAGCAUAUCUAUUUAGUCCUCGUCAAACAGGAUUAUUACUUUUGCUGCAGCUAACAUAAAGGAUAAUUGUCCUCUUUGCUGACUGAUGCAGGAUUUUACGACACUUUAUGUGUUGUUCAACUCGAUCUCAAAUCAAGUAAGACUACCCGCUGAACUUAAGCAUAUCAAUAAGCGGAGGA
This 421-nucleotide unclassified non-coding RNA is filed under the name soil metagenome. RNAcentral describes it as "partial contains 5.8S ribosomal RNA, internal transcribed spacer 2, and large subunit ribosomal RNA". The stretch from base 1 to 120 matches the Rfam family "5.8S ribosomal RNA", at positions 35 to 154 of the family's 154-position model. The record is from RNAcentral.